UACGUAGGGACCGAGCGUUGUCCGGAAUCAUUGGGCGUAAAGAGCGUGUAGGCGGCUAUUUAAGUCCUGCGUGAAAUCCUGCGGCUCAACCGCAGACGGUCGUGGGAAACUGGAUGGCUAGAGUGCGGGAGAGGAGAGUGGAAUUCCCGGUGUAGCGGUGAAAUGCGCAGAUAUCGGGAGGAACACCAGUGGCGAAGGCGGCGCUCUGGGCCGGAACUGACGCUGAGGAGCGAAAGCGUGGGUAGCAAACAGG
RNAcentral lists this ribosomal RNA (253 nucleotides) under uncultured bacterium. Its description in RNAcentral is "partial 16S ribosomal RNA". It matches the Rfam family "Bacterial small subunit ribosomal RNA", at positions 524 to 776 of the family's 1533-position model. The record is from RNAcentral.